This 1890-nucleotide ribosomal RNA is filed under the name Triticum aestivum (bread wheat). RNAcentral describes it as "partial small subunit ribosomal RNA". The record is from RNAcentral. Lineage: Eukaryota; Viridiplantae; Streptophyta; Magnoliopsida; Poales; Poaceae.
AUGCCGCCCGCUCCCGUGCACCUCCCCAACUCAGAUCCAGAGGCUACGCCAGAUCCCGUCGCUGCGCCGCCGGCCCCGGCGGCGGUCCCGCUCACCCCCGAGCUCUUCGCCGCGCUCAGCCGGGUGGCCGCCAGGUCCGACCCCGACGCCGGCGCGCCGAGGAUCCUUCUCACGCCCGAGCUCCUCGCCAUCCUGCGCGGCGAGCUCGAGCCCUCCCCCGACGACCACUCCGACUUGGCCCUCCAUCUCCGCCUUUCCCAGCAGCAGCUCGACUCCAUGUCCGCGAGCCUCCCCUCCGCCACGCCCCCGCAACGCCCACAGUCUCCCCUGCCCCCGCCGCCCUCUCACGUGCCACCGCCGCCCCCUCCUCCGCCCAGCGCGCAUGCCAACCCGGCGAUGGAGAUGGCGCUCCACUAUCGCCCGCUGGUGCGCCGCGCGCGACUCACCUUCGAGGCGCUCUGGGGCCGCUACCGCCGCAACGCCGAGCACAACCCCGUCCCCGGCAGCCGCAACCGGGCCGACUUGCGGGCCCUCGGCGCCAUGAUCAAAGGGGGGCUCUGCCUCAACCGCGAUAAGCGCAUCGUAGGGCCCGUGCCGGGCGUCUUCGUCGGCGACGCCUUUAACUACCGCGCCGAGCUCCUCGUCGUCGGCCUGCACAACCAAACGCAGGCCGACAUCGGCUACGUGCCCGCCAGCAAGCUCGACGGGGGCCACUCCGUCGCCACCAGCAUCGUCUCCUCGGGCAGGUACCUCGACGACCACGACAACGGGGAUGUCUUGAUCUACACGGGAAGCGGCGGCAGCCCGCCGAACGCCGGCAACCUCGCCCUCACAUCCAGCUGCAAGUACGGCAUCGAGGUGCGCGUCAUCCGCUGCCACGACUGCCACGCCAGCCCCAGCGGCAAGCUCUACGUCUACGACGGCCUCUACAAGGUCCAUUCCACCACCGAGGUCUGCAAGUUCAAGCUCGUGCGUGUGCCCGGCCAGGAAGCGCUCGGCAGCAACACCUGGCGCUCCGCCAGAGACCUCAUCAACCAGUUCGACGCCAAGAUCCAGCCUCCCGACUACAUCACGCUGGACAUGUCCAAGGGCAAGGAAGCGGUUCCCGUCCCCGUCCGCAACACGGUGGACCAUGACGUCUUUCCCCUCAAGUUCGAGUACCUCGCACGCCCCGAGUUCCCGGCGCCGCCGGCGAUGCCCGGCCACAAGUGCUGCAUCAACGCCAAGACUGCGUGCAGCGAGACGUCCGGUUGCGUCUGCGUGAAGAGGAGCGGCGGAGGCGGCCCAGCGUACAAUGCUGACGGCAUGCUCUUGAGGGGGCGGCCGGUGGUGUACGAGUGCGGCGCGUCGUGCAGGUGCCCGGCGAGCUGCCCCAACCGGGUGACUCAGCGGGGGAUGAGGCACCGGCUGGAGGUGUUCCGGUCGACUGAGACGGAUUGGGGCGUGAGGACGCUGGACCUGAUCCAGCCGGGCGCAUUCCUCUGCGAGUUCGCUGGGGACGUGCUCCUCGCGGAUCACCCCCGCAUUGCCAACGCGAACGCCAAUGCCAAUACCGGCGCGUCAACGGAGGAGUGGGCCUGCUUCAUCGACCCGAGGAAGUUUCCGACGAGGUGGAUGGAGUGGGGGUACGCCCCCGCGGCCGUGCUUCCGGACGACGGCGAGGAACCGCCCCGUUUCGUGCAGUGCCCGGCGCCGGGGUACGUGCUCGAUAUAUCCAAGAGGAAGAACAUCGCGGCCUACAUCAGCCACAGCAGCUUAGUGCCGAACGCCUUCGUCCAGCUCGUGGUCCGUGGCAACGAGGACGAGUCGUGCCCCCACCUGAUGGUCUUCGCCAUGGAGAUCAUCCCGCCGAUGAGCGAGCUGAGCAUCGACUACGGCCUUGGUCAGUGA